GACGAACGCUGGCGGCGUGCCUAAUACAUGCAAGUCGAACGGAGUGGCGCACGGGUGAGUAAUAUAUAGCUAAUCUGCCCCUUGCUGGAGGACAACAGUUAGUAAUGACUGCUAAUACUCCAUAGCAAGGGAUGAGACUAUAUCGUAUCAGCUAGUCGGUGGGGUAACGGCCUACCGAGGCGAUGACGCGUAACUGGUCUGAGAGGAUGAUCAGUCACGUUGGAACUGAGACACGGGCAUGACUCCGACGUGAGGCAGCAGGAGGGAAUAUUGCGCAGUGGGGGAAACCCUGACACAGCACCGCCGCGUGAAGGAUGACACUUUUCGGGGCGUAAACUCCUUUUGUUAGGGAGGCGGUACCUAACGAAUAAGCACCGGCUAACUCCGUGCCAGCAGCCGCGGUAAUUC
This 408-nucleotide ribosomal RNA is filed under the name uncultured bacterium. Its description in RNAcentral is "partial 16S ribosomal RNA". It matches the Rfam family "Bacterial small subunit ribosomal RNA", at positions 28 to 526 of the family's 1533-position model. The record is from RNAcentral.